CCGGAGGUGGCAGAGUAGUCAAUUGCACCAGACUGUAAAUCUGGCGGGUUUUCCCUUCGGAGGUGCGAAUCCUCCCCUCCGGA
Molecule: non-coding RNA, 83 nt
Organism: Candidatus Daviesbacteria bacterium
Lineage: Bacteria; Candidatus Daviesiibacteriota
Source: Rfam